UUUUACAUGUGUGUGUGUGUCUGGGGCUGUCCUAGUUAGGACAGCUGAGACCAGUUCAUCACUGGAUGGGUGUAACCCAAAACUGUGUAUUCUGUAGCCUUCCAUGCUAUUUCCCAGAAACUGUUAUCAA
Long non-coding RNA from Corapipo altera (White-ruffed manakin), 130 nucleotides. RefSeq lists it as uncharacterized. The record is from RefSeq and is a predicted model, not a curated record. The transcript has 3 exons. Lineage: Eukaryota; Metazoa; Chordata; Aves; Passeriformes; Pipridae.